Molecule: ribosomal RNA, 463 nt
Filed under: uncultured bacterium
Lineage: Bacteria
Description: partial 16S ribosomal RNA
Rfam family: Bacterial small subunit ribosomal RNA
Source: RNAcentral
GACGAACGCUGGCGGCGUGCUUAACACAUGCAAGUCGAACGGUAAGGCCCUUCGGGGUACACGGGUGGCGAACGGGUGAGUAACGCGUGAGUAACCUGCCCUUCACUCUGGGAUAACAGUUGGAAACGGCUGCUAAUACCGGAUAUUCAGCUCCUGUCGCAUGGUGGGGGUUGGAAAGUUUUGGUGGUGGAGGAUUGGCUCGCGUCCUAUCAGCUUGUUGGUGGGGUGAUGGCCUACCAAGGCGUCGACGGGUAGCCGGCCUGAGAGGGCGACCGGCCACAUUGGGACUGAGAUACGGCCCAAACUCCUACGGGAGGCAGCAGUGGGGAAUAUUGCACAAUGGGCGGAAGCCUGAUGCAGCAACGCCGCGUGCGGGAUGACGGCCUUCGGGUUGUAAACCGCUUUCAGCAGGGACGAAGCGCAAGUGACGGUACCUGCAGAAGAAGCACCGGCUAACUACGUG